UGACAGGUAUCACGUGGAAUAAACCAACGAGACAAGGCUAAACUUUUUGUAAAUGUUUGCAAAUAAAUAUUAAGUACACACUUCUUUUUUUAAUAUUAUGCUUCAUACGUUACUAUUCCAAAUCCUGGAUCCACCUCUGUUACUAUCCUAGUUUCGGUCGACAAAGUUACCUGACACCUAUUGCUGUUGGGAGCUGACAGGUAUAACGUGGAAUAAACCAACUAGACAAGGCUAAACCUUUUGUAAAUGUUUGCAAAUAAAUAUUAAGUACACACUUCUUUUUUUAAUAUUAUGCUUCAUACGUUACUAUUACAAAUCCUGGAUCCGCCACUGUUACUAUCCUAGUUUCGGUCGACAGAGUUACCUGAAACCUGUUGCUGUUGGGAGCUAAAAGGUGGAAUAAACCAACUCGACAAGGCUAAACUCUUUGUACAUGUUUGCUAAUAAAUAUGAAGUACACUCUUCCUUUGUGAAUAUUAUGCAACAUACGUUACUGUUCCACAUCCCGGAUCCGCCUCUAUGACUAUCCUAGUCUCAGUCGACAUAAUUACCUAGCACCUGUUGCUGGUGGGCUGACAGGUAUCACGUCCA
Molecule: long non-coding RNA, 591 nt
Filed under: Capsicum annuum
Lineage: Eukaryota; Viridiplantae; Streptophyta; Magnoliopsida; Solanales; Solanaceae
Description: long non-coding RNA (CANN_LNC015018)
Source: RNAcentral